RNAcentral lists this ribosomal RNA (466 nucleotides) under uncultured bacterium. RNAcentral describes it as "partial 16S ribosomal RNA". It matches the Rfam family "Bacterial small subunit ribosomal RNA", at positions 28 to 507 of the family's 1533-position model. The record is from RNAcentral.
GACGAACGCUGGCGGCGUGCUUAACACAUGCAAGUCGAACGGAAAGGCCCAGCUUGCUGGGUACUCGAGUGGCGAACGGGUGAGUAACACGUGGGUGAUCUGCCCUGCACUCUGGGAUAAGCCUGGGAAACUGGGUCUAAUACCGGAUAUGACCGACUGUCGCAUGGUGGUUGGUGGAAAGCUUUUGCGGUGUGGGAUGGGCCCGCGGCCUAUCAGCUUGUUGGUGGGGUAAUGGCCUACCAAGGCGACGACGGGUAGCCGACCUGAGAGGGUGAUCGGCCACACUGGGACUGAGACACGGCCCAGACUCCUACGGGAGGCAGCAGUGGGGAAUAUUGCACAAUGGGCGCAAGCCUGAUGCAGCGACGCCGCGUGAGGGAUGACGGCCUUCGGGUUGUAAACCUCUUUCACCAGGGACGAAGCGUGAGUGACGGUACCUGGAGAAGAAGCGCCGGCCAACUACGUG